CCCGGUACAUAGUUGUACAUUCUUUGUUGUGGGUCCUUCUAGUUGUGGCAUGUGGGACGCUGCCUCAGCGUGGUUUGAUGAGCAGUGCCAUGUCUACGCCCAGGAUUCGAACCAACGAAACACUGGGCCGCCUGCAGCGGAGCGGGCGAACUUAACCACUGGGCCACGGGGCCAGCCCCCAAAGCAUUACAUUUUUUAAACUCUGUGUAUUUGUUAGAUUCCUUUUAGCAGAUAACUGGUUAGCUGAGACUUCAAGGAGGGAGCAAGUAUGCCCUCCUUUUAUUGGGUCAAUUAAAUAUUCACCUACCUGCAAUGGCCUAUCUUAGGAGAGUAAAAGCUUCAUAUUAAGAUCUCAGAGGUAAUUAGCCCCAGAGUCUCUGAAGCAAGAGAGAGUUUAUGUUACUGCAGCAUGAAGGUGGAAACUGCUGGAACCCAUCUCACCUAUGAGUCAUCCGGUUUUAAGGGCUCCUAACAUUGCAUUCAAUUCACCUCAGCUCCUCCUUCCCUUUAGGAAGCAGUUCUACCUUUGUUGUCAAGACGGCAUCCACAUUUCCAUUGCAGGCCACCGUGCUCAAACAAAGGAACCUGGCUUCAGUGUCAUAGCCUGAUAGAUGCUAGUCAUAAAAAGACCAUAAGUGAUGGUUUGGAUUCUUUCCUUAUCCGUAUUAACAGAGAAUCAUUGGCUUUUAAGCAGAUUACUGGGGAAGAGGCCAUUUUUCCUCCUCCCACUUUGAAAAUGCAGAAUUAAUUUUUAUACUUUUGCUGUGUAAUUUCCUUACCAAUUUGAACAUUUUUCCUCUAUCUAAAUCUAUCUGACUGCUCAGCACUGAACCAAACAAAAAACGUCCGGCUUUUCAUGCACCAUUUUUUGGGGUAAAUGUCUUGUGUUUCAUUCAGUCUGAAAAGUGAAUUGAAAUUAGUCUGCUUAGUUUCCUUGAAAAUUGUGUGAUCAGUUUAACUACUGGGCUGAUUGCAGGAGAGAACCAGAUUUGAGGAUGGAGGCACAGCCAGAGAGCUGGAAGUUCCAGGGACUGAGAGACUGCCCAUGGCUUUCUGUGACGUUCACCUCUGCUACCAGGAGGCCAGUCUCCCCUACUUUUCCCUUUUAAUCUCUGAUCUGGCAGGGAUGUAAGAAUUUUGAUAGUUAACUAGUAUGGAAUAACUAGCACUCCAGAAGCCUAGAUGGGGCUGAGUCAUGCCAUAUUUGCUCCAAGUCAGCAAAUAUUGCUAAAUGCCCACUAUACAUAAGGCACUUACUAAGUCCUAUAGAGAAGGGAAUCGAAAGAUGAACAAGACACAUUUCAGGUCUUGGAGGAGGGAAGGCAGACACUUAACCUAAACAACCUGCCUCCACACCCACUCACAGCUGACCUUGGGCAGCAGAACUAACUCUCUAAAGCUCAGUUCCCCUAUGUAUAUACAAUGGAGGCAACAACUUUGUAACAAUUCAGGGCCCAGGUAAACCUACUGUGGGGACCCUCCUAACUGAACACACACCAGGAAGGAGGCCUUUCUCCUCACUAAAGAAGACCACGUGAAACUGUUACAGAGCUGCCAGGAGCUGGGAGACCACGUGUGGCUCCAUCAGCAGACAUGUGCAUUUCAGCAGGAAUCUCUUGCCUGAACUCGCAGUUAAGAACCCAACAGAUGACCCUGUAAAGUCUUGUUACCCAGCUGGGUGUUUAGAUGUCUACAGGUCAUGAUCAUCUGGCAACACCAGGGUGAAGCCUCCCACCAGAUUUUUUAAGACCAGCUGGUUCAUCUUGAAACUAAAGGCUGCUAGGGCCCCAUGUGUUGCUUGGAGGUCAGUUUUUUCCAAACUGUGAUAUUUCUACUCCUCCUCACAUUUCACAAAUAUUAUUGGUUAGGGUGAAUAAAAGUUUUUUUUUAAAGUGAUAUGACUUUAAAGAAAAAUAUUAAGAGAAGAGCGACAGGUGGUCUAUAGCAUGGCAACUUUUUUUUUUUUUUUUUAAAGAUUUUAUUUUUUUCCUUUUUCUCCCCAAAGCCCCCCGGUACAUAGUUGUAUAUUCUUCGUUGUGGGUCCUUCUAGUUGUGGCAUGUGGGAUGCCGCCUCAGCGUGGUUUUGAUGAGCAGUGCCAUGUCCGCACCCAGGAUUUGAACCAACGAAACACUGGACCGCCUGCAGCGGAGCGCACGAACUUAACCACUCGGCCACGGGGCCAGCCCCAGCAUGGCAACAUUUUUAAUGUCAAAUUUGGUAACCACUGGGGCUGGCCUUGUGCCCUAAUGGUUAAGCACACUCCGUUUCAGCGGCCUGGGUUCAUAUCCUGGGCAUGCACCUGCACCACUCAUCGGUGGCCAUGCUGUGGCAGUGACCCACAUACAAAAUAGGGGAAGACUAGCAACAGAUAUUAGCUCAGGGCAAAUCUUCCUUGGCAAAAAAAAAAAAUAAAAAAAAAUUGGUAACCACUGGGUCCAUUAAUGAAGGGACUUACAGGGGAGGGAACAUAACUGGAAACCUCCAGUUACCUCCAACCCCACUUUCAGCUCUCAUUUCUCCUCUCUCAGAAUCUUCCUAGGUGCCUGGGAUCACUUCUUCCUCUCUUUCCAAAGUCCUUUGUGUAUGUGUCCACAGUGGCCCUUAUUCCAUUUUAUCCCAGUGGUUGGCCUCCCACUUUGCUUUCUUUCCUAGCUGUGAGCUUUCCUGGGAAAUCACCUUUGUAUUCCCUACAGUGCUUGGCACAAAAAGGUAAACUCAAAGAAAGAGAGACUAACUGGGAGAAUGAAAGCACUGUCUCCACCUGUUUCCUGAUGAUUAGAAAGCUGUGAGGCAAGGGAAGGGAAGAAAACUCCAGCCCCAGCACUAUUCAGAAAGCCAGUUUAAUUAUUCUGGCAGAAGCAAUCUGAAUAUAAGGACAAAGAUAGGUCUGUGACUUUCCAGAAUACUCGAUUUCUACUCACAAGAACUCUGACUGAGCAUCUUUAUCCACGGGAAACAGGUGCCGACAGAAGACUGAGAAGAUUCCCUGUUUCUUUUGCAUUUCCUGCUCAGCUGAUCCUGAGUGGAUGUGGAAGUCAGCAUUUGUCUUUGGCAUAUUCCCAUCCCUCUCAAACUCCUCCGCUCCUCCAUUUGGAUUUCCAUUCUUGCUCUUAGCUAGCAAGACUCCCUACUUACCCACUGAUAUUUAAUAGACGACUCCUCCUUGAACCAAACCCAUUUUUCAAAAGGACUUCCAGCUGUUAAUGCAGUUAAUUGAAAGGAAUGAAGCUACAGUGGUGGAAUUAUGGACUGGAAUGGAAAAUCCCCUUAAGUCUCAAUCAUUUAGCCAACUGCCUGUUUUGCCUUCUUACAAUACAAUUUAAGUUCACUUUGGCAGCCAAACAGAAUAAUUGCAACCAAGUUCUGCUGGCCAGCCUGAGCUCGCCAGAAAUUAAGUGCAUAGACUGAGUCAGACUGCUAGGUUCAAAUCCCAGGUCUUCUAUUUUUUAGUUGUAUGACCUUAAGCAAGUUACAAAACCCCUCCUAACCUGCUGACUUCAUCUAUAAAAUGGGGCUAUGUUCUCUACCUCAUCCAGAUGUUGUGUGCGAUGAAAUAAUCCACGUAAAUCACUUAGCGCAAAUCUGGCACGGAGCUGAUGUCCAGUAAGUCUAGCCAUCAUCACUCCAUUCUUGCAUUGGAAUGUCCUAAUUUCCUUAUAGAGGCACAGAUACUUGAAGUACAACCAUUUAAUUUUGUAGGCAGGAUGCAUUACCGUGUAGCAGAGAGAGAAGUAGAUAGGCUUCCGUUUGCUGAAUAACCAUACAGAACCCACUUACUCUCUUUGGGUCUGUUUCCCACCUGUAAAAUGAGGUGGGACAGGCAGGGAUUUCCCAGGGUUGCAAACUCAAAUGUCUACAGAGGCCCAAUAGAUAAAAUCACUGGUGAUGUGGGCUGGGUACAAGACAAUAGAGAGCAGUGGGGAUUAUGGUUAACUGUAGAGCUUUGCUACUC
Molecule: long non-coding RNA, 3953 nt
Organism: Equus caballus (horse)
Lineage: Eukaryota; Metazoa; Chordata; Mammalia; Perissodactyla; Equidae
Source: Ensembl